This 142-nucleotide unclassified non-coding RNA is filed under the name uncultured Helotiales. Its description in RNAcentral is "sequence contains ITS2". The record is from RNAcentral. Lineage: Eukaryota; Fungi; Ascomycota; Leotiomycetes; Helotiales.
CUACUCUCAAGCACUGCUUGGCAUUGGAUGUCACUUUUGUAGUGCAUCUCAAAAGUAUUGGCAGUAGCAUCUAGCUUCUAGUGUAGUAAAUCUCUUGCUAUGGAGCUGGGUGUCUGACUACUAGAACCCCUAAUAUAUAAAA